GGCGAACGCUGGCGGCGUGCUUAACACAUGCAAGUCGAGCGGAAAGGCCCUUUCGGGGGUACUCGAGCGGCGAACGGGUGAGUAACACGUGCGUAAUCUGCCCUUCACUUGGGGAUAACCUCCGGAAACGGUGGCUAAUACCCGAUACGACCAUUCCUCGCAUGAGGUGGUGGUGGAAAGUUUUUCGGUGGGGGAUGUGCUCGCGGCCUAUCAGCUUGUUGGUGGGGUAAUGGCCUACCAAGGCUUCGACGGGUAGCCGGCCUGAGAGGGUGACCGGCCACACUGGGACUGAGACACGGCCCAGACUCCUACGGGAGGCAGCAGUGGGGAAUAUUGGACAAUGGGCGGAAGCCUGAUCCAGCAACGCCGCGUGAGGGAUGACGGCCUUCGGGUUGUAAACCUCUUUCACCUGUGACGAAGCGAAAGUGACGGUAGCAGGAGAAGAAGCACCGGCCAACUACGUG
This 464-nucleotide ribosomal RNA is filed under the name uncultured bacterium. Its description in RNAcentral is "partial 16S ribosomal RNA". It matches the Rfam family "Bacterial small subunit ribosomal RNA", at positions 28 to 507 of the family's 1533-position model. The record is from RNAcentral.